UAGAUUCAUUAAACUCGGUAAACUCGGCGCAUUUUCAAAUGCGGAUUAGAAAAUGGGUUGUUUUUAAUCCUAGGCCAAAAAUAGAUUAAGCCCAAAGCCUAAACGGUGUCAUUUCAAACAAAAUUAAGGAUUUAGUCAGACAACUCCUUCCCUAUCACCGUUUUCUUGCUUCUGUCCCGAUUCUCUCAACUGUGACGUCUCGCUUCUAUCAAGCCAAGCAAGCGAAGUUGAUCGCCAAAGGAAACUCCACUACUUCAGGUUUAUUGUUUAUAAUUGUAUGGAACAAAGAAUGUCAUCUAUGAUCGAGUCUAAGGGUGAGAGCAAUAAUACUAGUAGGAGGAAUGAAUCGGGAAAUAGGUCUGAUAUUGGUUGGGUGCACGGUAUAGAUGUGGAUAACAAUUUAAAAAGAGUGCAAUGCAAACAUUGCAACAAAAUUUUUAGCGAAGGAAUAUAUCGUUUUAAACACCAUUUAGCCGGAACUCGUAAGGACGUUGAAUCAUUCUUAAUUGUACCUGAGGAAGUUAAGAAGCAAAUGUUAGGAGUCUUAGCCAAACUAGUAGAAUCUUCACAGAAAAAAAAGAAGAUAUUUUUUACUUAGAUGAUAAUAUGUCUAACGAGGUCGAACAACCAGUUUCAAAGAGAAAAGAUGAUAUGGGGUUUUUUUCAAAAGAAAAACUCAAUAAAAGCAAGAGCAAGCAAACAACUAUUAAUCAGAUGAUGAAAACAGAUUUAAGGGAAGAAGCUUGUCAACAAAUAGCUAGGUUUUUUUACACAAAUGUAAUUCCUUUUAAUUGUGUGAAAAAUCCUGAAUUCAUGAAAAUUUUUAACUUAAUUGGAAGAUAUGGCAUUGGAUUCAAAGGUCCUACUUAUCAUGAAAUUAGAGAAAAGUAUUUGAAAAGGAAAUAAACUGCACAAUGGAUUUACUUGAUGAGUAUAAAGUAGAGUGGAAGAAAACAGGUUGCUCUGUCUUGUCUGAUGGAUGGAAUGAUAAGAAAAGACAUUCAAUUUCCAAUUUCUUGGCUAAUAGUCCAAAGGGAACUAUUUUCUUGUCAUCAUUGGAUACAUCUCACAUUUCUAAAACUACAGAUAAAGUUUUUGAAAUGUUAGAUGAAAUAGUAUAGAAAAUAAGGGAGGAGAAUGUUGUGCAAGUGGUUACUGAUAAUGCUGCAAAUUAUAAAGCUAAUGGAGAAAAGGAAAGGAUUGUUUGCUAAUGGAGAAAAGGAAAAGAUUGUUUUGGAUACCUUGUGCUGCACACUGCAUUGACUUGAUUUUAGAGGAUUUUGAGAAGAAGGUAACGGUCAAUAAGGUGACAAUUGCCAAAGCAAGAAAGAUUUCAGUAUAUAUUUAUGUAAGACCUUUUACUGAUUUCCAUUCUGAGGCAUUUUACUAGAGGUAGAGACUUGAUUAGACCAGCUGCUACAUGUUUUGCCACUGCUUAUUUGACCUUAGGAUGCCUUAAUGGUCAAAAAGGGUUUUUGAUGUCCAAGUUUACUUCCAAAACAUGGAGAGCUAGUAAGUUUGCAUCAACACAAGAUGGGAAGUGAGGGCAACACAUGGUUUUGGAUUCUAGAUUUUGGAAAAAUAUUGUUACAUUUCUUAAAGCUGCAUAUCCUCUCAUCAAAGUGCCUAGAUCGGUGGAUUCAGAAGAGAAACCAGCUAUGGGUUUCAUUUAUGAAGAGAUGGAUCAGGUAAAAGAGAAGACACAGCCAAUUUCAAUAAUGUUAGGAAAAGCUAUGAACCUGUAUGGAAAAUCAUUGAUGAAAGAUGAGAGCUUCAAUUACAUGGGCCUUUGCAUGCAGCAGCUUACUACUUGAACCCUCAUUACCAUUAUAGUCCUAAUUUUAAAGUUGAUGCUAAAAUUAAAAUUGGACUAUAUACUUGCCUUGAAAGAAUGGUGUCGGAUUCAUGAGAGAGAUGCAAAAUAGAUUUACAACUUGAAUCUUUCAAGGAUGCAAAAGGUUUAUUUGGCAUAGAAGUUGCAAAGUUGGCUAGGGACAAGAAACCUCCAGCUAAGUGGUGGGAUUCUUAUGGUGAUUAAUGCCUUGAAUUGUAAAAAUUUGCAAUUAGAAUUUUGAGUUUGACUUGUAGUUCUUCUGGUUGUGAGCAUAACUGGAGUGCAUUUGAAAUGGUUCAUACAAAAAAAAGGAAUCGCUUGCAUCAAAAGAAGAUGAAUGAUUUGGUUUUUGUAGUGUACAAUUUGAAGUUGAAAGACAGAAAAGCUAAACAUUAUGAUGAGCCAACAUCUUUUGAAGAAUACCAUCCGAUGAUGAGUGGAUAGCUGAAAAAGAUCAUCUUGAUUCACCAUUGGCAACAAAUAAUGAUUGGUUAGAUGUUCUUGGAAGCGAACCAAACAAGUGGUAUAAAUAUAGAUGAAGAAGAAAGUGGUGGAAAUCAAGUAUCAAAUGAAUUUAAAUUCAUAGAAAGUCAUGAAGCAAGCGAUGAUUUAGAAAUCCAUAACUCUAAUUUGGAUGGUGAUGACAUAGGUAGCAGUUAUAAUGAAAUAGGUAGGGCAUUUGGUGGUGAUGAAGAGUAUAGUGGUUUUGAAAAUGUGAAUGAUUAUGAAGGGUGGUAGUCUUGAAAAAAGUGCUAACGACUAUUUCUGGUCUUUUAGCUCAUCUUUACUUAGUAUUUUUCUUUGCUUAGGAAUUCUUAUGUUUUUUUUUUUUAUUGUGUGUGUUGUGAACUUGGUUUGUAUUAUGACAAUAUUAUCUCUUUUCUAUUAUUAGUUUUAUUUUUGACUUGUUAUAAAUU
Non-coding RNA from Jatropha curcas, 2751 nucleotides. The record is from RefSeq and is a predicted model, not a curated record. NCBI's taxonomy places the organism in Eukaryota, Viridiplantae, Streptophyta, Magnoliopsida, Malpighiales, Euphorbiaceae.